AAUGGCUCAUUAAAUCAGUUAUCGUUUAUUUGAUAGUACCUACCAACUACAUGGAUAACCCGUGGUAAAUUUAGAGCUAAUACAUGCUAAAAACCCCGACUUCGGGAGGGGUGUAUUUAUUAGAUAAAAAACCAAUGCCCCUCGGGGCUUCUUGGUGAUUCAUGAUAACUUAACGGAUCGCAUGGCCUUGCGCCGGCGACGGUUCAUUCAAAUUUCUGCCCUAUCAACUUUCGAUGGUAAGGUAUUGGCUUACCAUGGUUUCAACGGGUAACGGGGAAUUAGGGUUCGAUUCCGGAGAGGGAGCCUGAGAAACGGCUACCACAUCCAAGGAAGGCAGCAGGCGCGCAAAUUACCCAAUCCCGACACGGGGAGGUAGUGACAAUAAAUACUGAUACAGGGCUCUUUUGGGUCUUGUAAUCGGAAUGAGUACAAUUUAAACCCCUUAACGAGGAACAAUUGGAGGGCAAGUCUGGUGCCAGCAGCCGCGGUAAUUCCAGCUCCAAUAGCGUAUAUUAAAGUUGUUGCAGUUAAAAAGCUCGUAGUUGAACCUUGGGCCUGGCUGGCCGGUCCGCCUCACCGCGUGUACUGGUCCGGCCGGGCCUUUCCUUCUGGAGAACCGCAUGCCCUUCACUGGGUGUGCCGGGGAACCAGGACUUUUACUUUGAAAAAAUUAGAGUGUUCAAAGCAGGCCUUUGCUCGAAUACGUUAGCAUGGAAUAAUAGAAUAGGACGUGCGGUCCUAUUUUGUUGGUUUCUAGGACCGCCGUAAUGAUUAAUAGGGAUAGUCGGGGGCAUCAGUAUUCAAUUGUCAGAGGUGAAAUUCUUGGAUUUAUUGAAGACUAACUACUGCGAAAGCAUUUGCCAAGGAUGUUUUCAUUAAUCAGUGAACGAAAGUUAGGGGAUCGAAGACGAUCAGAUACCGUCGUAGUCUUAACCGUAAACUAUGCCGACUAGGGAUCGGGCGAUGUUUCUAUCUUGACUCGCUCGGCACCU
Molecule: ribosomal RNA, 992 nt
Filed under: Tetraploa dashaoensis
Lineage: Eukaryota; Fungi; Ascomycota; Dothideomycetes; Pleosporales; Tetraplosphaeriaceae
Description: SSU rRNA
Rfam family: Eukaryotic small subunit ribosomal RNA
Source: RNAcentral